UUUGAUUUCCUUCGGGACUGAUUAUUUUGUGACUGAGUGGCGGACGGGUGAGUAACGCGUGGGUAACCUGCCUUGUACAGGGGGAUAACAGUUGGAAACGGCUGCUAAUACCGCAUAAGCGCACAGAGCUGCAUGGCUCGGUGUGAAAAACUCCGGUGGUAUAAGAUGGACCCGCGUUGGAUUAGCUAGUUGGUGAGGUAACGGCCCACCAAGGCGACGAUCCAUAGCCGACCUGAGAGGGUGACCGGCCACAUUGGGACUGAGACACGGCCCAAACUCC
Molecule: ribosomal RNA, 280 nt
Filed under: uncultured Eubacteriales bacterium
Lineage: Bacteria; Bacillati; Bacillota; Clostridia; Eubacteriales
Description: uncultured Clostridiales bacterium partial 16S ribosomal RNA
Rfam family: Bacterial small subunit ribosomal RNA (bases 42-280)
Source: RNAcentral